Long non-coding RNA from Dreissena polymorpha, 2001 nucleotides. RefSeq lists it as uncharacterized. The record is from RefSeq and is a predicted model, not a curated record. The transcript has 3 exons. NCBI's taxonomy places the organism in Eukaryota, Metazoa, Mollusca, Bivalvia, Myida, Dreissenidae.
AUUUCGAAAACGAUAACCAACCGUAGUAUAUUUGCAUGGUUAAGACUGAUGGUGUACUAUUUACUCAAUAUCUGGUUUCGUCAACAGGUUUGACCUCUAAUACAUAAUGCGUCAUGCAAAAUAUUACAUCGUUGCGAAAUCAACAUUUGGGGAGUUUUUUUGACACGGAUCAUUGCGGACAAAAAUGCGAACUAAUUACAACAGGAUCGAUUCAAACAACUGAAGAACUUUUAGCUGAACGGUUGAAAGACUGACUGAAAUUCACGGACAUAACAAUGAAGUGGUCAAUAUCAGUGAUUUGUAUUCUCAGUCUCUAUGCUGGUUAUGCUGCGGCCAUAAGAUGCUAUGAAUGUGAUAGCAUCACGAACAGCGCGUGUGAAGACACGUUUAAAGCAGAUGGCUUUCAGCCUAAAGAUGAUUGUACCACCUGUAUGAAGGUUAAAGGGAGGAAGGAUGGCAUACAAUUUGUAGAAAGAUCAUGCGAUACUUCGAUACUACCCGAUAAAUGCCAGUCAGAAACCCUCUUUGGUGUCGAUGUGGACGUUUGUUGGUGCAGGAAAGACCUUUGUAACAGCGCCUUUAGCGUGUCUGCAAGUUUCUCCAUCAUGUUUGUUCUUAUUAUCAUAUCUAUAGUAUAUUUGUAAGGAUAUUAUCAGCAGCAAGGGAGGUGGUUGUACGAAAUAUGUUUCGCAAACGGCUUUGCUUGAUACGUUUUGCUUGAAAAGAAAAGUGUAGCAACCAUUCAUUCAUGCUUGUAAUAUGUCGCAUUUCUAAAUGUAUGGACGCGUAUUGACAAUUUUUGUUUGCUUGUAAUAAUUAUAUCAAUUAUUCUAUGGUGAGAAUCAGCUAACGACCUUGCUCCAAGUAUAGUAAUCAUGCACUUUACAUCCACAAUCUUAAUUGUAUGUGUGAAAAUAUAUUUGUUCGAAGACAAAUUGUUUGAAAGGUAAUGUAUCCAAAGUAUGUUUGUUAAAUAUUUGACAAGAUACUGAACUCAUGUUGAUAAAUAUCUUGAUGUAUUUUAUAUGUAUGCGUGUAUAAAUUCAGUGCCUCUUUGGUGAAUAAUUAUCAUUUUAUGAAUAAAAUCCUCGUUGAAGCAUCAGAAUCAACAUUAAUAAUCAUAUAACUUGAACACACUUUAAUUAUAACAAAAUACGCAUCCUUUAUUUUCGAAAUACCUACUCUAUUUAAGGUUUAACGUAUUAAUAUAUUACGUAAAAUGUUUUUACUAUAAAUGUAUAACUUAAAACAAUCCAUGAAUCACUUAAAGACAACAGAUGCAUAAUUGGUAAUAACACCAUGGGGCUAAUAAAUAUACUAGGAUAACGAAGGAUAUUUGUGCUUUUAACUCCAAUAGGUUUGUAUAUAUACACGGUUCAUGAAGGUUAUGUAUUCUAUCAUCUCCCUUGGGAUUAUGACUAUACAAGGGUCAUGAAUGUUAUGUGUGCUAUCAACGCGCAUGGGUUUAUAACUAUACUAGGUUCAUCAAGGUUGUAUGUUGUAUCAACUCACAUGAGUUUAUAGCUAUCAAGGUUCAUGAAGGUUAUGUAUUCUAUAUACUCCCUUGUAUUUAUAACUGUAUUAUACUUGGUUCAUCAAGGUUGUAUGUGCUGUCUACUCCCAUAUGUUUAUAACUAUACUAGGUUAAUCAAGGUUUUGUGUUGUAUCAACUCACAUGGCUAUAUAACUAUAUAAGUUCAUAAAGGUGUUAUGUGCUGUCAACUCCCAUGGGUUUAUAACUGUACUCGGUUCGUGAACGUUAUGUGUGCUAUCAACUAGCUUUGCGCAAUGCACACUUGGAGACUUUUCUAACGCAACACUCAUCAAACUUGAAAAUCUCACUUAUAAGUUAAGAUUAUGAUUCAACAUUUCACAUGAUAUCAUUUGACUACAUUGUGAACAAGUUGACGAUAUAAUCAUCCAUCCGUGACGAUCGAACGCUUUAGCAUGUGGGGUAUGUAUGGUUUCAUAUUUUGCAUGUGGGAAUUGUGAAACACUACA